UUUUGGCGAGGUGCCUUCCGAGUUCCCUGGAACGGGACGCCAUASAGGGUGAGAGCCCCGUACGGUAGGACCACCAAGCCUCUGUAAAGCUCCUUCGACGAGUCGAGUAGUUUGGGAAUGCUGCUCUAAAUGGGAGGUGUACGUCUUCUAAAGCUAAAUACCGGCCAGAGACCGAUAGCGCACAAGUAGAGUGAUCGAAAGAUGAAAAGCACUUUGAAAAGAGGGUUAAAAAGUACGUGAAAUUGYUGAAAGGGAAGCAUUCAUGMCCAGACUUGGGCUUGGUUGAACAUCCGGCGUUCUCGCCGGUGCACUCUGCCAGUCCAGGCCAGCAUCAGUUUGCCCCGGGGGAUAAAGGCGGCGGGAAUGUGGCUCCCUUCGGGGAGUGUUAUAGCCCGUCGUGUAAUGCCCUGGGGCGGACUGAGGAACGCGCUUYGGCACGGAUGCUGGMKUAAUGGUCAUCAAUGAYCCGUCUUGAAACACGGACCAAGGAGUCGUCUUYGUAUGCGAGUGUUCGGGUGUCAAACCCCUACGCGUAAUGAAAGUGAACGUAGGUGAGAGCUUCGGCGCAUCACCGACCGAUCCUGAUGUUCUCGGAUGGAUUUGAGUAAGAGCAUACGGGGCCGGACCCGAAAGAAGGUGAACUAUGCCUGUAUAGGGUGAAGCCAGAGGAAACUCUGGUGGAGGCUCGCAGCGGUUCUGACGUGCAAAUCGAUCSUCAAAUAUGGGCAUGGGGCGAAAGACUAAUCGAACCUUCUAGU
Molecule: ribosomal RNA, 758 nt
Filed under: Sarocladium kiliense
Lineage: Eukaryota; Fungi; Ascomycota; Sordariomycetes; Hypocreales; Sarocladiaceae
Description: partial large subunit ribosomal RNA
Source: RNAcentral